GUCAACUAUCACAACAUUACUAAUGUGUAUAGUAAAGUGUGUUUCAAAUAUUACCGGUUAUAUAUAAUAUAAUAUGUAGCCAGGUAUAUCAUUUUAUAAAAUACUUCUGAAUGCAGUAUUCAGGUUAACCACAGUUAAGAAGUUAACUUUACAUACACUAUGGAUUGAAGAUCUGUUAAGAAAUUAUAUAAUUCGCGUCCGGGUUCAUGUUAUGGAAUUUAAACUUGAAUUGUUUUUGCAACAAUGAUAUUUUUAACGGUUUUACAUAAUAAGUUGACAGACGACACCUCUCACAGUUAAACAGAUACUUAUACGAUACUGUUACAUGUAAGUACAUUUGUAUGUUUACACAUAAUGGGUGGUAUCGGAUGUAACUUUCCUGGUACACUAAUAUAGAGUACACAUACUACACUUUAAAUGUAUACACAGGCGUUUGAGGGUGUUAAAUUACGCACAAUGUUUCGGUUAUUAUUUCCAAAAGAUACUAGUUAAAAACUUAAGAAUAUCCAUACACCUACAAGGCCACAUACUUGCCUUCCACUUGCCAUAGUUUCUAAAAAGUAUCGUAGCCAAAGUGAUGGUAGUUUACCUUGCAUUGUGGUGAUGUAGGAUAUUAAGCCAGUUCGAAAAGAGUAUUUUAUGGAAAGUUCAUCUUAAAUACUAAUAAUAUGCAAAUUUCUGUAAAUUCCAUCCCUUUUCAUUUUAACUACUGUUAAUUUUAUUUUAUCUCACUGGGUGGGAUUCGUAUGUGUGUGUGAGUGUGUGUGUGUCGGGAUUUGAGAGAUUUAAGGCAUAAAUGUAUAUGUCCUUAGGGACUCAUAUUAAGAAAUUUUAUCGACAUAAACAGUAUGUACAAUAUUAGAUUAUUUACCAUACUUUGGCAUUAACAAUAAACAAUCCUUAGAAAGGUUCGUGGCAGGUGCACUUUUUAUAUUUUAAACUUCAAUACUUUGAAAUCUUCCCAAUUUGUAGCAAACGCACGACUUAUAACCCUCACACUACUUAUGAACAAUAUUUAUAUAUUCACAAAACAAUGAUAAAUGCAUAAUCAAUGAUAAUUAACACAUUAUUUAAAUAAUAAUAUAAGUUAUAAGGUAAUUGAUUGUUUAUGCAAUGUAAUUUCAAUUGAUAUAUAGGUAUUACCAAUGUUAUUUCAACUGAUCGGGCGGAGCUUACGUUUUAGUUUGCAUAAGGACAGUCUAUUUGUAGAUGUGUGUGAUAAGGAUGAUUACCGUAAUAAUUCUAACUGAUCUCUAAUCACCUAUCAGUGUCAUCAAAGGAAUUUACAAAAGAAUGACUGGGCACUUCAUUGAUGAAUUUAUUCUAAAACACCUAUCUAUAGAUGGACUGGUUUAUUAUGAGCGAACCGGUUAAACUACGCCCAGUCAAGUGAAAUAAAUUUAGUAAUAAAUUAGUAAAACAAACACACACUUUUUAUGUAAUUAUGAAGAAUUAUGACAAUAAGAUAUAAAGCCAGGGAUACAUUGCAGAGAAUAUAAUAGAAAAAGUAAAUAUAGAAAUGUUCUUCGAAUUUAUAUAAAGGAAAAAAAAACCGAACAUUUAAACAAUGACGGAGAAAGGGCUUAAACAGAAAAAUUGAAAUCCCUUUAAAAAUUUUACAAAUAUAGUUUAUAAUUAAAAAUGUUAUCUUAAAAAUAGACCAUUAUUGAAUUUUGUGAUAACAUUUUGUGUCGUUAUUUACUUUGGAAAUCCAUCUUACACUAGUAAGUAAGGCAGUUCACAGUUAGAUAUUUAGUUUGUUACCAAUAUAUAAGUCACACAGAGUCUAAUCAACAUUAAUACAUUAUAUAAAGGUCAAGAUUGUACCUUACAUCCUUUAGCGACGGAGCCAUCUACCCACUUGUUUAUGCAUUAACCCCAUACACUACAGGAACAACAAUGAAAUCAAUACGGUUCAACGUACAAUAUUGCUCCCUCUUGAAGCAUGUAGAUGUUGUUUGGAGGAUGACAUUAUCAACCUAGUGAUACUCCUGCAGAAACUGCAAACACCUUAGUGUUGAGUUCAAUUCAAUCCUCGGCAUGUCUGUUAACUUAGUGAGCAGAAACGAAAAUUAUUUUAAAAGGAUAACAGACGAAGUCACUCGAGGAUAACAACAUGACACUGUUGUCUCAAUGAAGCAUGUUGAUGAUAUUUGGUUAAAUGCAAUAGAAGAAAUAGUAGAAACAAGCAGAUCACUUUAGAUUUAGAGAGAUAAUAUCACCAACUAAAGAAAUAUACCUUUAUACCUUUAUACCUUUAUCUUCGGGUCUUUAUAUAAGCUAACGGCUUCCACUGACCCUUCAUCUUGGAUUUUCGUAAUGCGAUUUCUGGUCUCAUAUAAUAUGUCUAUAUAUAUUAGACUUAUUAAAAAAACUUAUUAGUAUAUUAUUUACAACCAAACAUCUCUUCAGUUAAGCAUUAUUAAGUACUAAACAGGUUGUAAACAUCAUCCUCACAACGUACGUGCUUUGGAAAUGACAAAAGGCUAGUGAUCUAAACCGAAACUUCAGGGUAACAAAAUGACAUUAGUUGAGUAUGCAAAUGCAGAAAUCAUAUUUUAUCAUUUAUUACAUUUUGUUUGACUUGUUAAAUUCGUUCUAAACUUUAUCCUAUUAUUUGACUGUGAACAUAUUGUAGGAUUUAAUAGAGACCAUGCUUAAUCGAUUUACAACUAUUAAACAGCGGUAUACUACUGUUACUUUAUUUAGCCUCUAAUCAAUUUAUGUUUUAUAACUCUUCAUUUCUUGCAAUUAUUUAACUUAGGGCAACAUUUUAUACAAUUUAAAUCUACAUUUAAAUAUUUUGGCUUAAAAUAAAUGAAACCCCCAACAUGGAUUUUAAACAGACGUCAACCCCCUGUUUUACAAUGCAAAAAUAGGAGAAAUAAUUCGUAAACAUUCCUGAUGCAUAUUAUACCACACACAUAUCCAUACAGGUAAUUUAAAAAUGAUUCAAAGUGCGUUUUUAAAACCUACUCGUAAUAAUGCACGAACUAUUUGAUGCUCAUAGCUCAUAACUAAAGUUUCACACAUUAUAAAUGUUAUACAUGCUAUAUAAUUCAUUUUUUUAAAUAUCAUUUGCUUCUUAUGAUCUAAGAAAAAAACAUAUAGCUCGUAUGCUUGCACUAACUUACCAAAAUAAAGAUUAAGUUUACACUUUAACAUUAUUUACAUUGUUUUUAUAGUGCCGAUUUUUAAAUCUUAUCACAACUUCCCUAAGUUAAGAUUUGACUUAGCAUACAUAUCCCGAUAUCCUUAUCAGGAAUCGCUUCCUUAUAUUCUUACGGAAGGGUGACUUUUUUUUUUAUGGGAGAUGCAAUUACACGCCUCUAGCAUACUAAGGAAAACAAAAACAUGUGUAUUAUUUCGCUUACCGUAGGAUAUGAAAAUAAUAGACCGUCAAAGGUAAAAUUACAAAAAAAAAGAACAAUUCAAAACGUCCCUUUUGUAAUUUCGAAAUAAAAAGCUCAACACAUCAAACGAUUGAAAAUCAACUGUGAUAUUCCAGCCUCUUAAAAAAUUUAUUAAUGUGAAAAUUAUUCUAAUUUAAAAAAAAAAAUGCAUUUACAGUGAUUAAGGUGGUACCUAACACCUUGACUUCAAUUAAUUUGGCUCGUUUAAUUUCCAUAAAAUUUUGACAAAAUACUGACUUUGACCCGUUGACGAAAAUAUGAAACUUGAAACCACACACUUUAUCGAAAAAUUUUCAUUGGAUGUAAAGCAGUAUACAAACACAAAUUUUGAUCAUUGAGAACCUUCCUAUUUUUACAAUAUAACUUAAUUAAAACGUUAAGCUGAUUUUACAGAUUCAUCUCCCUGUAGUGUUAUGAACCACACUAAACUAUGAUGACAUAACCUUAUACCUCUGAUUAACAAUAUGCUUAUUUAUGUAAAUUUGGUAUUGACACCACAUUAAACAUACUGGAAGAUGUAGAUGACAAGACAUUACUGUAGAAAAAAUUUAUUUAUCUUAUGCCGUAAACAAAUUUUACUCAAUUAUAAAAGAUCGUUCAUAUGGGGGGCGGGGAAAUAUGGGCUAGGAAGUUUCUGAUGUAUUAAGUGUGUGUUCAUUGUUAAUAUGUUUAAACACUUACGACAAAGAAGUUACUUCGGCAGAAGAUAAAGCAAAAACAGUAAGUUAACUCAAUCAAACCUUAAUGUUGUUGUUAUGUUCAUAUAAAGAGUGAAAGGAGGAUUACUCAUAUUAAUUCGUUCUUUGUUGACUGUAAGAUGUUUAGGAUAGAGUGUUACUGGGUAGGUUAAUCCGGCAAUCCUUUCAAACACAGGGAAUUAAGGUAGAUUCUGUCAUACCAUAACCAUGUUAACAGAGCGUUAUUUUCAUUUUCUGUACUCGUUGGUAUUUUCGAUUGCUCAAUGUAUUCAUAUAUGGUAGUCGAAUACUAUGUAUACAUGUUUUAUCGUUUUAUCUUGCAGAUUUGCAUUUUGUUGAGAGAAAUUGUCAAAAUGGUUUGGAAUCCACCCAACACACUCAGUGCAUCUAAUAUGCCUGCUCUUCUGCAGAAUCGGGGAAUUGUUUUCGGUUACCGUCAGAUAAAUCAGCCGUGGAGUUAUUAUGCGCGAAGCAUCUGUCAAUUCCACAACGAAACCUUUAAUAUAUGGACGCAUUUGAUAGCCAUAGUCAUACAUUUAAGUAUGAUUUACCAGUAUGCCGAGGAAUGCGACUUUUAUCGUGACAAACACUCAUGGACAUUAUUAAUUUUCAGUGUUUGUUGUAUAUAUUCGACGACAAUAAGUGUAAUAGCACACAUUUUUCAUAGCAAAAACAUUGAUGCACAUUACAGCUUAUUUCUGUUUGAUUACGCAGGCGCGUAUAUGUACGCGUAUGCUUCCGGCUUGAUAGCCAUUUACUACUUUUCAGAUUCAUAUACCUAUGACAUGAUCGUAAAUGGGUACUUGGUCGCUCAUUUGAUAUUCUCCUUUGGUGGCGUUAUUCUCAUGUGUAUUAUGAAAACAAGUUUUGGACAUAAAGACCACCAGAGGACAAGGAAAGGCCUACUUAGCUUGUUUUUUUCAUUGCACGCAAUUCUUAUGUCUGCAACAGUAGCAAGAAAAUAUUGGCUUUCACUUAAUGGCAACAAAGAACAUUUAGCGUCCAUUACUAACUAUAAUUGGGUAUAUUUAUAUUUUAUACUUGGAGGAUUAUCGUACAGUUGCCACUCGCCAGAAGUGUUUUUUCCGGGCAUGUUUGACAUUAUAGGACAAAGCCACCAAAUAUUUCAUAUAUUUGCAACACUGACUCAGAUAUUACAAAUUCGCGCAGUGCGCUUUGAAAUCUCAAAAGGGAAUGCUACAUAUGGACAUCCAUCCUUGCCAUCAUUCUUUAUAUUAUCAACAAUGUCUUUGGGAAUUAUCACUUUUAUAUGUGUGUUUAUCAUUAGAAAAUAUUUUCCAGUACAAACUUUAAAAAAAGAAAAAUAAACACAAUUGAGCUGUUUUCUCAGCCAGUCUCCAAAUCGGAGAAUAAAUAUUAUUUAUUUACUGUCUCCAAUCAGAAAUAUCAGAGGUUUGUCUUUAUAUUUUUAUUGUAUAUGUCAUUUGUUGAUUUCAUAUCUGUUAAAGAAAAAUAUUAACUUUUACUGAAAUAUGGCCAUGAAAUAAAAAAG
This 5624-nucleotide long non-coding RNA is filed under the name Mytilus galloprovincialis (Mediterranean mussel). Lineage: Eukaryota; Metazoa; Mollusca; Bivalvia; Mytilida; Mytilidae. The record is from RNAcentral.